Molecule: non-coding RNA, 75 nt
Organism: Podarcis lilfordi (Lilford's wall lizard)
Lineage: Eukaryota; Metazoa; Chordata; Lepidosauria; Squamata; Lacertidae
Source: the annotation of a GenBank genome assembly
GGAAGUGUCGCAGCUCACUGGUAGAGCAACAGCUGGGUGUGCAGAAUGUCCCAGGUUCAAUUCCUGGCAUCUCCA